UGCAGUCGAACGGCAGCACAGAGGAGCUUGCUCCUUGGGUGGCGAGUGGCGGACGGGUGAGGAAUACAUCGGAAUCUACUCUGUCGUGGGGGAUAACGUAGGGAAACUUACGCUAAUACCGCAUACGACCUACGGGUGAAAGCAGGGGACCUUCGGGCCUUGCGCGAUUGAAUGAGCCGAUGUCGGAUUAGCUAGUUGGCGGGGUAAAGGCCCACCAAGGCGACGAUCCGUAGCUGGUCUGAGAGGAUGAUCAGCCACACUGGAACUGAGACACGGUCCAGACUCCUACGGGAGGCAGCAGUGGGGAAUAUUGGACAAUGGGCGCAAGCCUGAUCCAGCCAUACCGCGUGGGUGAAGAAGGCCUUCGGGUUGUAAAGCCCUUUUGUUGGGAAAGAAAUCCAGCUGGCUAAUACCCGGUUGGGAUGACGGUACCCAAAGAAUAAGCACCGGCUAACUUCGUGCCAGCAGCCGCGGUAAUAC
RNAcentral lists this ribosomal RNA (480 nucleotides) under Pseudomonas sp. RNAcentral's name for it is "bacterial SSU rRNA". It matches the Rfam family "Bacterial small subunit ribosomal RNA", at positions 56 to 526 of the family's 1533-position model. Lineage: Bacteria; Pseudomonadati; Pseudomonadota; Gammaproteobacteria; Pseudomonadales; Pseudomonadaceae. The record is from RNAcentral.